UACGUAGGGUGCAAGCGUUGUCCGGAAUUAUUGGGCGUAAAGAGCUCGUAGGCGGUCUGUCACGUCGGAUGUGAAAACUCGGGGCUCAACCCCGAGCCUGCAUACGAUACGGGCAGACUUGAGUUCGGCAGGGGAGACUGGAAUUCCUGGUGUAGCGGUGAAAUGCGCAGAUAUCAGGAGGAACACCGGUGGCGAAGGCGGGUCUCUGGGCCGAUACUGACGCUGAGGCGCGAAAGCCAGGGGAGCAAACGGG
Molecule: ribosomal RNA, 253 nt
Filed under: uncultured bacterium
Lineage: Bacteria
Description: partial 16S ribosomal RNA
Rfam family: Bacterial small subunit ribosomal RNA
Source: RNAcentral